UAAAUCAUCAACUUUUGGACUUGUUUUGCGCAGGUCGAAGCUUGAAAGUGGAGAGUGCUGGCCUCCUCAAGGAGGUUAGCUCCUCUGAAAUAAAUCAGCAAAGGCUUUUGAUCCUCCUUGCUAUGACGUUGAUAAGCAUUGUCUGCGUCUUGAAGGGGACUUGGCGUUUUGCUUUAAACUGGGCAACCUUGACAA
RNAcentral lists this unclassified non-coding RNA (195 nucleotides) under uncultured Hygrocybe. Its description in RNAcentral is "sequence contains ITS2". Lineage: Eukaryota; Fungi; Basidiomycota; Agaricomycetes; Agaricales; Hygrophoraceae. The record is from RNAcentral.